This 497-nucleotide ribosomal RNA is filed under the name uncultured bacterium. Its description in RNAcentral is "partial 16S ribosomal RNA". It matches the Rfam family "Bacterial small subunit ribosomal RNA", at positions 28 to 507 of the family's 1533-position model. The record is from RNAcentral.
GAUGAACGCUGGCGGCGUGCCUAAUACAUGCAAGUAGAGCGAAGGGACGAGAAGCUUGUUUCUCUGAUGUUAGCGGCGGACGUGUGAGUAACACGUGGAUCACCUCCCUAUAAGACUGGGAUAACUUCGGGAAACCGUAGCUAAUACCGUAUAAUAUAUUGAACCGUAUUAUUCAAAAGAAAAAUACGAUCUUGCUGUUACUUGUAGAUGGAGCCGCGCUGAAUUAGCUAGUUGGUAAGGUAACGGCUUACCAAGGCAACGCUGCAUAGCCGACCUAGGAGGGUGAUCGGCAAACCUGGAACUGAGACACGGUCCAGACUCCUACGGGAGGCAGCAGUAGGGAAUCUUCCGCAAUGGGCGAAAGCCUGACGGAGCAACGCCGCGUGAGUGAUGAAGGUCUUCGGAUCGUAAAACUCUGUUAUUAGGGAAGAACAUAUGUGUAAGUAAAUGUGCACACCUUGACGGUACCUAAUCAGAAAGCCACGGCUAACUACGUG